AUUGAACGCUGGCGGCAGGCCUAACACAUGCAAGUCGAGCGGAUGAAGGGAGCUUGCUCCUGGAUUCAGCGGCGGACGGGUGAGUUAUGCCUAUGAAUCUGCCUGGUAGUGGGGGAUUACGUCCGCAAACGGGCGCUAAUACCGCAUACGUCCUGUGGGCGAACGUUGGGGUUCUUCGGACUUCUCGCUCUCAGAUGAGCCUAUGUCGGAUUAGCUAGUUGGUGGGGUAAAGGCCUACCAAGCCGACGAUCCGUAACUGGUCUGAGAGGAUGAUCAGUCACACUGGAACUGAGACACGGUCCAGACUACUACGGGAGGCAGCAGUGGGGAAUAUUGGACAAUGGGCGAAAGCAUGAUCAAGACAUGCCGCGUGUGUGAAGAAGGUAUUCGGAUUGUAAAGCACUUUAAGUUGGGAGGAAGGGCAGUAAGUUAAUACCUUGCUGUUUUGACGUUACCAACAGAAUAAGCACCGGCUAACUUCGUG
This 484-nucleotide ribosomal RNA is filed under the name uncultured bacterium. RNAcentral describes it as "partial 16S ribosomal RNA". It matches the Rfam family "Bacterial small subunit ribosomal RNA", at positions 30 to 507 of the family's 1533-position model. The record is from RNAcentral.